AUCAGUGUGGUGUGGUGGUUUGAACGUUGAUUAUGACUCUGGAAAUCAGGGUUCAAAUCCCUGCUCUGGCA
Molecule: non-coding RNA, 71 nt
Organism: Phrynosoma platyrhinos (Desert horned lizard)
Lineage: Eukaryota; Metazoa; Chordata; Lepidosauria; Squamata; Phrynosomatidae
Source: the annotation of a GenBank genome assembly